RNAcentral lists this ribosomal RNA (468 nucleotides) under uncultured bacterium. RNAcentral describes it as "partial 16S ribosomal RNA". It matches the Rfam family "Bacterial small subunit ribosomal RNA", at positions 28 to 507 of the family's 1533-position model. The record is from RNAcentral.
GACGAACGCUGGCGGCGUGCUUAACACAUGCAAGUCGAACGGAAAGGCCCUGCUUUUGUGGGGUGCUCGAGUGGCGAACGGGUGAGUAACACGUGAGUAACCUGCCCUUGACUUUGGGAUAACUUCAGGAAACUGGGGCUAAUACCGGAUAGGAGCUCCUGCUGCAUGGUGGGGGUUGGAAAGUUUCGGCGGUUGGGGAUGGACUCGCGGGUUAUCAGCUUGUUGGUGGGGUAGGGGAUUACCAAGGCUUUGACGGGUAGCCGGCCUGAGAGGGUGACCGGCCACAUUGGGCCUGAGAUACGGCCCAGACGCCUACGGGAGGCAGCAGGGGGGAAUAUGGCAGAAUGGGCGGACGCCUGAUGCAGCAACGCCGCGUGCGGGAUGACGGCCUUCGGGUUGUAAACCGCUUUCGCCGUUGACAAAGCGGGAGUGACGGUAAUGGGUAAAGAAGCACCGGCUAACUACGUG